AGUGAACGCUGGCGGUAGGCCUAACACAUGCAAGUCGAACGGCAGCACAGUAAGCGCUUGCUCUUACGGGUGGCGAGUGGCGGACGGGUGAGGAAUACAUCGGAAUCUACUUUUUCGUGGGGGAUAACGUAGGGAAACUUACGCUAAUACCGCAUACGACCUACGGGUGAAAGCAGGGGAUCUUCGGACCUUGCGCGAUUGAAUGAGCCGAUGUCGGAUUAGCUAGUUGGCGGGGUAAGGGCCCACCAAGGCGACGAUCCGUAGCUGGUCUGAGAGGAUGAUCAGCCACACUGGAACUGAGACACGGUCCAGACUCCUACGGGAGGCAGCAGUGGGGAAUAUUGGACAAUGGGCGCAAGCCUGAUCCAGCCAUACCGCGUGGGUGAAGAAGGCCUUCGGGUUGUAAAGCCCUUUUGUUGGGAAAGAAAAGCAGCAGGUUAAUACCCCGCUGUUCUGACGGUACCCAAAGAAUAAGCACCGGCUAACUUCGUG
Molecule: ribosomal RNA, 492 nt
Filed under: uncultured bacterium
Lineage: Bacteria
Description: partial 16S ribosomal RNA
Rfam family: Bacterial small subunit ribosomal RNA
Source: RNAcentral